AUGACCAAAACGACCCCAUUUUACCUCACUUAAUCUCAGCUCUUCGUCCAAUCCAAUCCAAUGGCUCUGAACUCCCUUCCCAAUUCCCAUAUAACUGUCCUAAGAGCCCCUCCCCCCAUCCCAAACCUAGAGACCACCUCUCACUCUUCACCAUCUCCCUCUAGCCGCCCAAACCCUCCACUAGCCUAGCCGACGGCGCCGCCGCCAAACUCAUCCAAACCCACUCAAAUAUUUACCCUAUAAUCCUCAAUAAUUUCUCACGCCUAAUCCAUCUUUGUUUUGUUCAAACAAGCAACGAAUUCUUUCCAGUUUCGGAUCUAGAAUACCCCUUUUCUUAUUUUUUGGCAAAAAUGGAAAUGGUGACAUAAAGUAUUAACCAUUAGGAUUUUUUUGGACAAUACUUGUAUCAUUAUUUCCAUGGUUGGCCAAGAACUAGUUUGGGGUUCAUCCUUGGGUCAAUAAAGAAGAUCUAAGCGAAGUCAUGCAUGCAAGGGGUAAAGAUCGGGGUUUAAAUCUUUCUUUAUGUAAUUCUUUUUAUUUUUAGGCAUCACUGCCGACUAAAUAAAAAAAAGAGAUUAAAAUGUAAUUUCUUUCAUUAGAAGUGUUCUGUCCAAUUCGUUUUUGUUUCUUUCUUUAUUUAUUAUUUUUUGUGUUUUGUUUGUUUUUUUUAUUUUAUCGGCAGUAUGUUUGUUUGUUUUUCUUUUUCUUUUUUGUUUUGUUUGGGUCAUGGUUUAAUCACUACUUUUCUUCUACCUUUCUUCAACCAUACCAUAGUCCAAGAUUGUUGGGUUUGGUGUAAAUUUGGUGGGCUUGUGGCCCAAUCUAUUUUAAGAGUAAGGGAAUUUAAUUUUAGGGAGGUAAAUACUAGUGUUGGUAAGGGUAUUUAGGGCAUUUAUGACCAAAAAAUAAUCUGAUAACCACCUAGGAAAGUUCUAGGAAGGUGAGGGUGGGGGUCUGAAUGAGUAAAUAGUGCUAAAUUUAGGUGAAUUUGGGCAAAAAACAGAUUUGUUAAAGAUAGGUUUUGAAUUUAGAAGUUCUGAUUUGUUGCCCUAAGGAGAAGGCUAAAUAUACAGUAUAGGUUGAAGGAAAAAGAGGAAGGGAGGCGGGUACGGCAGAAAACAAAAAAAAUUGGCAAAGAAAAACAAUUUUUCAUCUCAAGCUUUUCUUAGCGCUUUGGUUUUCUUAGCAUUUUCUGGUUUCUUUUACUGAUCCUGGUCUUGAAGAAGUGUUGAGAAGGACUUUUGUUGUUGCUAUAGUGACUGCUGAGCUCCAUUUACAAUUUUCAGACUUUUAUUUUUGAUUCACUUUCUAAUAGGUAUGUAAACUUCAUUUUGAUAGGAAUUUAGAACGAAUUCUGCUCAUGUUAAGUCCUUGUUUCCAGAUCUGUUUUUGCAUUCUUCUAUCUCUAUGAAUCCAUUUAAUUCUCAUCCCAUAAUUAAUGUCAUGAUUUUUGCUUCAAUUAAGUAUAAAAAUCAUUUAGGUUAGUAAAGUAAUAUGUUAAAUGUUAGCUUGUGGGGUCCGAAAAUGUUCAACUAAACUCAUGCAUGUCUCACUGAUUGGAUCCUUUUGUAAUAAAAAUUAUUUACGAAGUGAAGUGUACUGCAAAUAGAAUCUUUAUUAUGAAACUCUUUGUGAAUGGAGAUUAAAUUUGUUAGAUGGAAUUAUGUGUAUAAUGUAAAUGAAAUGUGGUUUGUUAUAUUGUGUCUUGCUUGAUGGUGACUUUUCAUUCCAUAAGCAUGUCCCUUCUGAUAGAAUGUGUACCUUGGUUAAAAAAGAAAAUGUCAAAUCGGUAGGGGAGGGAUGGAACGUCCCCACUGUUGAAUUUUGAUAUUUGUUCUUGGUAAGGAUAGUAUCUAACAUGCAUGUCAUUUUCAAUUACGACUGUCUUAGUUAGAGAAUGUCGAAAUUCUUAUUGUGUGUGAUUUCUUGCACUCGACUUGGUAAAUUCCUUGGAAUCUGAAGGAAGUUAGCGACG
RNAcentral lists this long non-coding RNA (1975 nucleotides) under Nicotiana tabacum (common tobacco). RNAcentral describes it as "long non-coding RNA (NTAB_LNC005907)". Lineage: Eukaryota; Viridiplantae; Streptophyta; Magnoliopsida; Solanales; Solanaceae. The record is from RNAcentral.